UACGGAGGGAGCUAGCGUUGUUCGGAAUUACUGGGCGUAAAGCGCGCGUAGGCGGCUUUGUAAGUUAGAGGUGAAAGCCCGGGGCUCAACCCCGGAACAGCCUUUAAGACUGCAUCGCUAGAAUCCGGGAGAGGUGAGUGGAAUUCCGAGUGUAGAGGUGAAAUUCGUAGAUAUUCGGGAGAACACCAGUGGCGAAGGCGGCUCACUGGACCGGCAUUGACGCUGAGGUGCGAAAGCGUGGGGAGCAAACAGG
Molecule: ribosomal RNA, 253 nt
Filed under: uncultured bacterium
Lineage: Bacteria
Description: partial 16S ribosomal RNA
Rfam family: Bacterial small subunit ribosomal RNA
Source: RNAcentral